Molecule: non-coding RNA, 74 nt
Organism: Podarcis lilfordi (Lilford's wall lizard)
Lineage: Eukaryota; Metazoa; Chordata; Lepidosauria; Squamata; Lacertidae
Source: the annotation of a GenBank genome assembly
GCUGGACUUAGGUCAGUUGGUAGAGCACGAGAUGCUUAAUCUCAGGGUUGUGGGUUCAAGCCCCAUGUUGGGUG